Molecule: long non-coding RNA, 291 nt
Filed under: Mytilus galloprovincialis (Mediterranean mussel)
Lineage: Eukaryota; Metazoa; Mollusca; Bivalvia; Mytilida; Mytilidae
Source: RNAcentral
AGAUUAUAUGAAAUAACCAAGACUUUAAGAAAACCUCAUCACACAGUUAAACUGACCAGGGGGUGUGAAGAUGAUUUGUUGGUUUGGCAAAGCUUUUUAGAACAUUUCAAUGGGAAAUGUUUCUUUAUCGAUCAAAAGAUGGUUUCAAACGAUGUAUUUCAGUUGUACACUGAUGCUUCGGGGACUUAUGGAUAUGGGGCAGUUUUUGGAAAGUCUUGGUUUUAUGGGGAAUGGAAUGAGCAAUGGUUAAGUCAAAACAUAACUGUGAAGGAGUUGUUUCCUAUUGUCUUG